AUUGAACGCUGGCGGCAGGCCUAACACAUGCAAGUCGAGCGGAUGAAGGGAGCUUGCUCCUGGAUUCAGCGGCGGACGGGUGAGUAAUGCCUAGGAAUCUGCCUGGUAGUGGGGGAUAACGUCCGGAAACGGGCGCUAAUACCGCAUACGUCCUGAGGGAGAAAGUGGGGGAUCUUCGGACCUCACGCUAUCAGAUGAGCCUAGGUCGGAUUAGCUAGUUGGUGGGGUAAAGGCCUACCAAGGCGACGAUCCGUAACUGGUCUGAGAGGAUGAUCAGUCACACGGGAACUGAGACACGGUCCAGACUCCUACGGGAGGCAGCAGUGGGGAAUAUUGGACAAUAGGCGAGAGCCUGAUCCAGCCAUGCCGCGUGUGUGAAGAAGGUCUUCGGAUUGUAAAGCACUUUGAGUUGGGAGGAAGGGCAGUAAGUUAAUACCUUGCUGUUUUGACGUUACCAACAGAAUAAGCACCGGCUAACUUCGUG
RNAcentral lists this ribosomal RNA (484 nucleotides) under uncultured bacterium. Its description in RNAcentral is "partial 16S ribosomal RNA". It matches the Rfam family "Bacterial small subunit ribosomal RNA", at positions 30 to 507 of the family's 1533-position model. The record is from RNAcentral.